Molecule: ribosomal RNA, 253 nt
Filed under: uncultured bacterium
Lineage: Bacteria
Description: partial 16S ribosomal RNA
Rfam family: Bacterial small subunit ribosomal RNA
Source: RNAcentral
UACGUAGGUGGCAAGCGUUGUCCGGAUUUACUGGGUGUAAAGAGCGCGCAGGCGGUCGAUUUAGUCGCGUGUGAAAGCCCCCGGCUCAACUGGGGAGGGUCACGCGAUACUGAUCGACUCGAAGGCAGGAGAGGGUAGUGGAAUUCCCGGUGUAGUGGUGAAAUGCGUAGAUAUCGGGAGGAACACCAGUGGCGAAGGCGACUACCUGGCCUGUUCUUGACGCUGAGGCGCGAAAGCUAGGGGAGCGAACAGG